This is a transfer RNA of 82 nucleotides. It matches the Rfam family "tRNA". Rfam says of the family: Transfer RNA (tRNA) molecules are approximately 80 nucleotides in length. Their secondary structure includes four short double-helical elements and three loops (D, anti-codon, and T loops). The record is from Rfam.
GCGGCCGUGGCGGAAUUGGCAGACGCGUAUGGCUUAGGACCAUAUACCGCAAGGUGUGGGGGUUCAAGUCCCUCCGGCCGCA